UACGGGGGGGGCAAGCGUUGUUCGGAAUUACUGGGCGUAAAGGGCUCGUAGGCGGCCAACUAAGUCAGACGUGAAAUCCCUCGGCUUAACCGGGGAACUGCGUCUGAUGCUGGAUGGCUUGAGUGUGGGAGAGGGAUGCGGAAUUCCAGGUGUAGCGGUGAAAUGCGUAGAUAUCUGGAGGAACACCGGUGGCGAAGGCGGCAUCCUGGACCAUUACUGACGCUGAGUGAGCGAAAGCCAGGGGAGCAAACGGG
RNAcentral lists this ribosomal RNA (254 nucleotides) under uncultured bacterium. Its description in RNAcentral is "partial 16S ribosomal RNA". It matches the Rfam family "Bacterial small subunit ribosomal RNA", at positions 524 to 776 of the family's 1533-position model. The record is from RNAcentral.